This 254-nucleotide ribosomal RNA is filed under the name uncultured bacterium. Its description in RNAcentral is "partial 16S ribosomal RNA". It matches the Rfam family "Bacterial small subunit ribosomal RNA", at positions 524 to 776 of the family's 1533-position model. The record is from RNAcentral.
UACGUAGGGUGCAAGCGUUUGUCCGGAAUUAUUGGGCGUAAAGAGCGCGCAGGCGGUAACUCAAGUCAGAUGUGAAAUAUCCGGGCUUAACCCGGAGGGGUCAUUUGAAACUGAGUAACUAGAGUACAGCAGAGGAUAGCGGAAUUCCCGGUGUAGUGGUGAAAUGCGUAGAUAUCGGGAGGAACACCAGUGGCGAAGGCGGCUAUCUGGGCUGAAACUGACGCUGAGGCGCGAAGGCUGGGGGAGCGAACGGG